This 2783-nucleotide ribosomal RNA is filed under the name metagenome. RNAcentral describes it as "bacterial LSU rRNA". It matches the Rfam family "Bacterial large subunit ribosomal RNA". The record is from RNAcentral.
GAAAGUAGUUAAGGGCGUAUGGGGAAUGCCUUGGCUCUCAGAGACGAAGAAGGACGUGUUAAGCUGCGAUAAGCUACGGUGAGCUGCACAAAAGCAUUAAUCCGUAGAUUUCCGAAUGGGGCAACCCGGCUGGUUGAAGACCAGUCACCGAAAGGAGUGAACGCGGGGAACUGAAACAUCUAAGUACCCGUAGGAAGAGAAAACAAUAGUGAUUCCGUAAGUAGUGGCGAGCGAACGCGGAUUAGCCCAAACCAUAAUUGUUACGGCAGUUGUGGGGUUGUAGGACUACAGAGUGGACUAUAUAAUUGAAGUGGAAUAACGUGGGAAAGUUAUCCGUAGAAGGUGAGAGGCCUGUACACGUAAGAUUAUAUUACCUAGUAGUAUCCUGAGUAGGGCGGGACCGGAGAAAUCCCGUCUGAAUCCACCGGCACCAUCCGGUAAGGCUAAAUACUCCUGAGAGACCGAUAGUGAACCAGUACCGUGAGGGAAAGGUGAAAAGUACCCUGAAUAAGGGGGUGAAAUAGUACCUGAAACCAUACGCUUACAAGCGGUCGGAGCCCUUAAGUGGGGUGACGGCGUGCCUUUUGCAUAAUGAGCCUACGAGUUGUUGUUGUUGGCAAGGUUAAAUGAUUCAGUCAUGUAGCCGGAGCGAAAGCGAGUCUUAACAGGGCGACAUAGUCAGCAGUAGCAGACGCGAAACUUGGUGAUCUACCCAUGGGCAGGAUGAAGUGUAGGUAACACUACAUGGAGGUCCGAACCAGUUGACGUUGAAAAGUCUUUGGAUGACCUGUGGGUAGGGGUGAAAGGCCAAUCAAACCGAGAGAUAGCUCGUACUCCCCGAAAUGCUUUUAGGAGCAGCGUGGGAAGAUGUUUACUAGAGGUAGAGCUACCGAUUGGACUAGGGGGAGUCAAAUCCUACCAAAUCCAGACGAACUCCGAAUGCUAGUAAAUUAUUCCUGCAGUGAGGGUUGGGGUGCUAAGGUCCCAAUCCGAGAGGGAAAGAACCCAGACCUACAGCUAAGGUCCCAAAAUCUAUGCUAAGUUGAACUAAGGAGGUCCAGUUGCUUAGACAGCCAGGAUGUUGGCUUGGAAGCAGCCAUUCAUUUAAAGAGUGCGUAACAGCUCACUGGUCGAGCGACAGGGCAUCAAUAAUAAUCGGGCAUCAAGUGUAGUACCGAAGCUUAGGAUUUUAUAUGGUAGGGGAGCAUUCUUUGUGCGGUGAAGAUUUGCUGUGAGGCAUUUUGGAGCGCAGAGAAGUGCAAAUGUAGGCAUAAGUAACGAUAAUGCGGGCGAGAAACCCGCACACCGAUAGACUAAGGUUUCCCCGGCAAUGCUAAUCAGCCGGGGGUUAGUCAGGACCUAAGGCGAACCCGAAAGGGGUAGUCGAUGGACAAUCAGUUAAUAUUCUGAUACCACUUUUAUUUUCGAUGGGGUGACGGAGUAGUGAAAGCACCGCGUACUGACGGAAUAGUACGUUAAAGAGUGUAGGUAUAGGUUUUGUAGGUAAAUCCGCAAGACUUGCCGAACUUGAUAGUACCACAAUCCUACGGGAGCGUGGAUAGUGUGCCUAAACAGACUUCCAAGAAAAACCUCUAAGGUAAGGAUAAAAGUGCCUGUACCGCAAACCGACACAGGUAGUCAAGGAGAGAAUCCUGAGGUGCUCGAGUGAUUCAUGGCUAAGGAACUAGGCAAAAUCGCCCUGUAACUUCGGGAGAAGGGGCGCCCCCACUUGUGGGGGCCGCAGUGAAAAGGCCCAGGCGACUGUUUAUCAAAAACACAUGGCUUUGCGAAAUCGAAAGAUGAGGUAUAAGGCCUGACACCUGCCCGGUGCUGGAAGGUUAAGGGGGGGAGUUAGCUUCGGCGAAGCUCUGAACUGAAGCCCCAGUAAACGGCGGCCGUAACUAUAACGGUCCUAAGGUAGCGAAAUUCCUUGUCGGGUAAGUUCCGACCUGCACGAAUGGUGCAACGAUCUGGGCACUGUCUCAGCCAUGAGCUCGGUGAAAUUGUAGUCGCGGUGAAGAUGCCGCGUACUCGCAACGGGACGAAAAGACCCCGUGCACCUUUACUAUAGCUUCACAUUGGUAUCGGGUAAAUGAUGUGUAGGAUAGGCGGGAGACUAUGAAGUUGCGUCGCUAGGCGUGGUGGAGUCAUUGGUGAAAUACCGCCCUUUAUUUAUCUGAUGCCUAAUCCGUAUUACGGAAACAGUGUGUGGUGGGUAGUUUGACUGGGGUGGUCGCCUCCAAAAAAGUAUCGGAGGCUUUCAAAGGUACCCUCAGCAUGUUUGGUAACCAUGCGUGGAGUGCAAUAGCAUAAGGGUGCUUGACUGUGAGACCUACAAGUCGAUCAGGUAGGAAACUAGGAUAUAGUGAUCCGGUGGUUCUGUAUGGAAGGGCCAUCGCUCAAAGGAUAAAAGGUACGCCGGGGAUAACAGGCUGAUCUCCCCCAAGAGCUCAUAUCGACGGGGAGGUUUGGCACCUCGAUGUCGGCUCGUCACAUCCUGGGGCUGGAGAAGGUCCCAAGGGUUGGGCUGUUCGCCCAUUAAAGUGGCACGCGAGCUGGGUUCAGAACGUCGUGAGACAGUUCGGUCUCUAUCUGUUGCGAGCGUAAGAAAUUUGAGUAGAUCUGACUUUAGUACGAGAGGACCGAGUUGGACUAACCGCUGGUGUACCAGUUGUCUCGCCAGGGGCAUUGCUGGGUAGCUACGUUGGGAAGGAUAGCGCUGAAAGCAUCUAAGCGCGAAACCACUACAGAUGAGAUUCUUUUAGAUGUAUAGAUGAUGACGU